RNAcentral lists this long non-coding RNA (1192 nucleotides) under Heterocephalus glaber (naked mole-rat). RNAcentral describes it as "lncRNA (ENSHGLG00000046441.1)". The record is from RNAcentral. Lineage: Eukaryota; Metazoa; Chordata; Mammalia; Rodentia; Bathyergidae.
GAUCUGUAUACUUCUCAGGGUGGGAGUAGGCCAGGGAGAAGAAAAUGCUCAUGGCACCAAAGAGUCUCUGUGUGGUUUUUACAAGAACAAGAAGAUGAAUAUGGGGAAAAAUUUUCUCGCAAAAGACUUCGCUCCCUGUGCCAACCGGAAUGGCCAGCCUUUGGGACACUGGAACCCCAUUGGAAGGGACCAUUUCCCCUUGUCCUGGUGACCCCCUCAGUGGUGAAGGUAGCUGGACACUCUGCCUGGAUCCACUGUGGUCAUUUGAAGGUGGCACCCCCUGAGGAAGCAAUGUUGACAUGGCAGAUCGACUGGAACAAAGAGGACCCCCCUCAAGAUAAGAUGAAUCAAGGACUGAGAUGGGUAAAGUGGGGAUUUAUAGGAACCUUGGUCCUGUUGGCUCGGGUACGAGGAGAUGUUCAAUGGCUGGUGCCUUCCAGCCAUGCCCCCAAAAUUGGACAUGGUCUCUCAAAAAUUCACUUACUGGAGCCCUGAUUGCCAUUGUCACAACAGACAGACAGCCCAUCUUUCAGGUUGACUUGUGUGAUAUAGGACUAGUUACUGGGACUGUGGGAGUGUCUGAUGUUGCAGAACCAUGUUCAGAUCCCUCUUCAACCCCUGGGGGAAAACGGGGAUGGUCUACACUUAACAGAAAAAAGGGUCUCCAGACCAUAGAUAUUUAUGCAUGGCCUAUAUGUAAAGACCCAAAAUGUAAUGGGGGGCCAGGAUACCAUUGUUACUAUUGGGGCUGUGAGUCCAUAGCCCCAUGGAAAAAUAAUGACCAGUAUUUAGCCUUGGAGCAGCGAACAGCUAGUAGCUCAUGCUCCCUGGGACAUUGUAACCCCAUUCGGUUAAUGCUAAAACAAUGGCAAAACCCAUACAAAGAAUGGGAGGAAGGUAAAUCUUGGAUGGUGGCACUGAAUACAAAUGGGCAAGACCCAAUGACAGACAUCAUCAUUCAGUGAAGUCUGGUAGUGACACCACCCAAACCAGUGGGAAACCUUUAUAAGAUAUUGAGCCCCCCAAAAGGCAGUGGCCAACCCCACAGGCGCAGAGGAAAUUCCACUUCCUCACUGCUGAGAAAGAAAACACGCACUCACCCCGCUUGCUGCCUGGGUAACACCCUACCCAACAAGGUCCCUGUAACUGCCCCAGAGUCACCAAUCCAACCAUACUUCAAAAUGCUGGGUGC